UCUGACAGCAAGCUAGGGUGGAAACUUGGAAGAACUGCUUUAAGCAAUCACCUCAGGAAGUUGCUUCAGAUUCUGUCCAUUGAAGCAAAUGUUCCUUCAAGCUCCUGAGCAGCUAUUAAUUUUACAUUGGAGGUCCACUGCGUGGACAUGGCAGUAUCAUUGCAAUAGAGUGUGUUCUGCAUGGCAUUCAGGAAAGGCUGAAGGAGCUGGGUCUCUAGCUUGGAAAAGAGAAGACUGAGGGAGUAGUGGCCACGUGCAUAAUUAUUUGCUGCAUCUUCCUUUCCAGUGAUCAGCUGUUCUGGAUGGAAAAGCUCCCGAGCUUCUCUCUCCAAAGAAUGUGGCAAAAGAGUCAUCAUCGCUAGGUUGGUCGAUGAAGGUGCCAUCUGGCUGAAUGCCAUGCUCCAG
Apus apus (common swift) is the source of this 405-nucleotide long non-coding RNA. RefSeq lists it as uncharacterized. The record is from RefSeq and is a predicted model, not a curated record. The transcript is spliced from 3 exons. Lineage: Eukaryota; Metazoa; Chordata; Aves; Apodiformes; Apodidae.